CCUACGGGAGGCAGCAGUAGGGAAUCUUCCACAAUGGACGAAAGUCUGAUGGAGCAACGCCGCGUGAGUGAAGAAGGGUUUCGGCUCGUAAAGCUCUGUUGGUAGUGAAGAAAGAUAGAGGUAGUAACUGGCCUUUAUUUGACGGUAAUUACUUAGAAAGUCACGGCUAACUACGUGCCAGCAGCCGCGGUAAUACGUAGGUGGCAAGCGUUGUCCGGAUUUAUUGGGCGUAAAGCGAGUGCAGGCGGUUCCAUAAGUCUGAUGUGAAAGCCUUCGGCUCAACCGGAGAAUUGCAUCAGAAACUGGUGGACUUGAGUGCAGAAGAGGAGAGUGGAACUCCAGGUGUAGCGGUGGAAUGCGUAGAUAUAUGGAGGAACACCAGUGGCGAAGGCGGCUCUCUGGUCUGUAACUGACGCUGAGGCUCGAAAGCAUGGGUAGCGAACAGGAUUAGAUACCCCAGUAGUC
RNAcentral lists this ribosomal RNA (465 nucleotides) under uncultured bacterium. RNAcentral's name for it is "partial 16S ribosomal RNA". It matches the Rfam family "Bacterial small subunit ribosomal RNA", at positions 338 to 795 of the family's 1533-position model. The record is from RNAcentral.